This 279-nucleotide ribosomal RNA is filed under the name uncultured Staphylococcus sp. Its description in RNAcentral is "partial 16S ribosomal RNA". It matches the Rfam family "Bacterial small subunit ribosomal RNA", at positions 83 to 354 of the family's 1533-position model. The record is from RNAcentral. Lineage: Bacteria; Bacillati; Bacillota; Bacilli; Caryophanales; Staphylococcaceae.
CCUUUGACGUUAGCGGCGGACGGGUGAGUAACACGUGGGUAACCUACCUAUAAGACUGGGAUAACUUCGGGAAACCGGAGCUAAUACCGGAUAAUAUUUCGAACCGCAUGGUUCGAUAGUGAAAGAUGGUUUUGCUGUCACUUAUAGAUGGACCCGCGCCGUAUUAGCUAGUUGGUAAGGUAACGGCUUACCAAGGCGACGAUACGUAGCCGACCUGAGAGGGUGAUCGGCCACACUGGAACUGAGACACGGUCCAGACUCCUACGGGAGGCAGCAGGA